RNAcentral lists this ribosomal RNA (502 nucleotides) under uncultured Glomeromycotina. RNAcentral's name for it is "partial small subunit ribosomal RNA". It matches the Rfam family "Eukaryotic small subunit ribosomal RNA", at positions 591 to 1092 of the family's 1831-position model. The record is from RNAcentral. Lineage: Eukaryota; Fungi; Glomeromycota.
CCAAUAGCGUAUAUUAAAGUUGUUGCAGUUAAAAAGCUCGUAGUUGAACUUCGGGGUCUACCCAUUGGUCAGGCUUAAUUGUCUGUACUGGUGAGAUGGAUCUCUACCUUCUGAGGAACUUUCAUGCCAUUUAUUUGGUGUGAUGGGAAAUCAGGACUAUUACUUUGAAAAAAUUAGAGUGUUUAAAGCAGGCUAACGUCUGAAUACAUUAGCAUGGAAUAAUGAAAUAGGACGGACUGAUUCUAUUUCGUUGGUUUCUAGGAUCACCGUAAUGAUUAAUAGGAUUAGGUGGGGGCAUUAGUAUUCAAUUGUCAGAGGUGAAAUUCUUGGAUUUAUUGAAGACUAACUACUGCGAAAGCAUUUGCCAAGGAUGUUUUCAUUAAUCAAGAACGAAAGUUAUGGGAUCGAAGACGAUCAGAUACCGUCGUAGUCUUAACCCUAAACUAUGCCGACUAGGGAUCGGACGAAGUUAAUUUUAUAAUGACGCGUUCGGCACCUUACG